Molecule: transfer RNA, 73 nt
Filed under: Coniochaeta pulveracea
Lineage: Eukaryota; Fungi; Ascomycota; Sordariomycetes; Coniochaetales; Coniochaetaceae
Rfam family: tRNA
About the family: Transfer RNA (tRNA) molecules are approximately 80 nucleotides in length.
Source: Rfam by way of RNAcentral
GAAUUAGUAACUUAAUUGGUAGAGGGCUACCUUGUCACGGUAGCAGAUGCUGGUUCGAUCCCGGUCUAAUUCG